UCAAGUAAGUAAGGGCGUACGGCGGAUGCCUUGGCCAUAUCAGCCGAAGAAGGACGCGAUAAGCUGCGAUAAGCUGCGGUGAGGUGCAAGUAACCUUUGACCCGCAGAUCUCCGAAUGGGGAAACCCGGCAGCAGUAGUGCUGUCAUCCUCUAUGAGGAAGGGCACCCGGUGAACUGAAACAUCUAAGUAGCCGGAGGAAAAGGAAUCAACAGAGAUACCCCUAGUAGCGGCGAGCGAACGGGGCAGAGCCCAAACCGGGAUGGGAAACCAAUCCGGGGUUGUGGACUGCUAUCAAAUGCAUGAGUGAAGCAGAAUGAGCUGGGAAGCUCAGCCAGAGAGAGUGAGAGCCUCGUAGGCGUAAGCGAGUGCAUGGAGCAGGAUCCGGAGUACCACGGGACACGAGAAACCCUGUGGGAAGCUGGGGGGACCACCCUCCAAGGCGAAACACUGAUAUGGACCGAUAGCGCAUAGUACCGUGAGGGAAAGGUGAAAAGAACCCCGGGAGGGGAAUGAAAGAGAACCUGAAACCGUAUGUCUACAAGCAGUCGAAGACCUUUAUAUGGUCGACGGCGUGCCUAUUGAAGAAUGAACCGGCGAGUUACUUCAGCUAGCGAGGUUAAGCAGGAAAUGCGGAGCCGCAGCGAAAGCGAGUCUGAACAGGGCGUAUAGUUAGUUGGAGUAGACCCGAAACCACAGUGAUCUACCCAUGUCCAGGUUGAAGCACAGGUAAAAAUGUGUGGAGGACCGAACCAGUGAGCGUUGAAAAGCUUUUGGAUGAGAUGUGGGUAGGGGUGAAAUGCCAAUCGAACGUGGAGAUAGCUGGUUCUCCCCGAAAUAGCUUUAGGGCUAGCCUCAUGGCGAGAGUACAGGCGGUAGAGCACUGAACGGGGUAGGGGCCUAUCCGGCUACUGAACCUAAUCAAACUGCGAAUGGCUGUACUUAUCCAUGGGAGUCAGACUGUGAGUAAUAAGGCCCAUAGUCAAGAGGGAAACAGCCCAGACCAACAGCUAAGGUCCCCAAUGCCGUACUAAGUGGCGAAGGAUGUGGAAUUUCGAAAACAACCAGGAUGUUGGCUCAGAAGCAGCCACCAUUAAAAGAGUGCGUAAUAGCUCACUGGUCGAGAGACUCUGCGCCGAAGAUGUCCGGGGCUAAAGUACGGAACCGAAGCUUUGGCAAUUAACAUAAGUUAAUUGGGUAGGGGAGCGUUCCUGCAUGGGAGAAGCCUGACCGGAAGGACAGGUGGACAGGCAGGAAGAGAGAAUGCCGGUAUGAGUAGCGAAAAGAAGGGUGAGAAUCCCUUCCACCGAAAGCCUAAGGGUUCCUGGGCAACGAUCGUCGUCCCAGGGUAAGUCGGGACCUAAUCCGAGGCGGAGACGCGUAGGAGAUGGACAACAGGUUGAAAUUCCUGUACUGGCUGAGGCCGUUUGAGCGAAGGAGUGACACAGGAAGGAAGGCGCGCGUGCGAUUGGAAGAGCACGUCCAAGCAGGUAGGUCGGGAGACAGGCAAAUCCGUUUCCCAGGAGGCCGAGAUGUGAUGGGGAGCUUCUGGAGACAGAAGCGAAGGGGCUGGCACUAAACUGUCGAGAAAAGCUUCUAGUGAGGACUCAGGCACCCGUACCGAAACCGACACAGGUAGGCAGGAUGAGAAUUCUAAGGUGCGCGGGAAAACCCUCGUUAAGGAACUCGGCAAAAUAUAUCCGUAACUUCGGGAAAAGGAUAACCCAGCGUACGUGAAGUGCAGAAACGCAUGGAGCGGAGAUGGGUGGCAGAAGAGAGGCCCAAGCGACUGUUUACCACAAACACAGGCGUCUGCUAAAGCGAAAGCUGAUGUAUAGAUGCUGACACCUGCCCGGUGCUGGAAGGUUAAGAGGAAGUGUUAGCGCAAGCGAAGCAGUGAAUUGAAGCCCCAGUAAACGGCGGCCGUAACUAUAACGGUCCUAAGGUAGCGAAAUUCCUUGUC
Molecule: ribosomal RNA, 1961 nt
Filed under: human gut metagenome
Description: bacterial LSU rRNA
Rfam family: Bacterial large subunit ribosomal RNA
Source: RNAcentral